UGCUACAGCCAUGCCACCCUGAACAUGCCCGAUCUCGUCUGAUCUCGGAAGCUAAGCAGGGUUGGGCCUGGUUAGUACUUGGAUGGGAGACCACCUAGGAAGACCAGGUGCUGUAGGCG
This 119-nucleotide ribosomal RNA is filed under the name Pteropus alecto (black flying fox). The record is from RNAcentral. Lineage: Eukaryota; Metazoa; Chordata; Mammalia; Chiroptera; Pteropodidae.